UACGUAGGUGGCGAGCGUUGUCCGGAGUUACUGGGCGUAAAGGGUGCGUAGGCGGUUGUUUAAGUUUGGUGUGAAAUCUCCCGGCUCAACUGGGAGGGUGCGCCGAAUACUGAAUGACUAGAGUGCGGGAGAGGAGAGUGGAAUUCCUGGUGUAGCGGUGAAAUGCGUAGAUAUCAGGAGGAACACCGGUGGUGUAGACGGCUCUCUGGACCGUAACUGACGCUGAGGCACGAAAGCGUGGGUAGCAAACAGG
RNAcentral lists this ribosomal RNA (253 nucleotides) under uncultured bacterium. RNAcentral describes it as "partial 16S ribosomal RNA". It matches the Rfam family "Bacterial small subunit ribosomal RNA", at positions 524 to 776 of the family's 1533-position model. The record is from RNAcentral.